Molecule: ribosomal RNA, 527 nt
Filed under: Austrelater sp. NLG
Lineage: Eukaryota; Metazoa; Arthropoda; Insecta; Coleoptera; Elateridae
Description: partial 16S ribosomal RNA
Rfam family: Bacterial large subunit ribosomal RNA (bases 391-527)
Source: RNAcentral
CAUGUCCUUUUGACUAUAAUUUAAGGUCUAAUCUGCUCAAUGAGUAUUAUUAAAUUGCCGCGGUAUUUUGACCGUGCAAAGGUAGCAUAAUAAUUAGUUUUUUUAUUGAAAGCUGGAAUGAAUGAUUGGACGAGAAAAUAGCUGUCUCUUGAUAAUUUUUUAUUGAAUUUAAUUUUUGAGUUAAAAAGCUCAAAUUUUUUUUAAAGACGAGAAGACCCUAUAGAGUUUAAUAUUUUUAGUAUUUUUAAUUUUUUGGAAUUUUCAAUUUUUUAAUUAUUAAAUUUAUUUAGUUGGGGUGACUUAAAGAUUUAAUUAACUCUUUUAUAUCUAGAUCAUUGAUUUAUGAAUAUUUAACCUAAUUUUUUUAAAGUUAAGAAUAAUUACCUUAGGGAUAACAGCGUAAUUUCUUUUGAAAGUUCUUAUUUAAAAAGAAGUUUGCGACCUCGAUGUUGGAUUAAAAUUUAUUUUUGGCGCAGAAGCUUUACAAUUAGGUCUGUUCGACCUUUAAAAUUUUACAUGAUCUGAGU